Non-coding RNA from Listeria monocytogenes, 213 nucleotides. The record is from Rfam. Lineage: Bacteria; Bacillati; Bacillota; Bacilli; Caryophanales; Listeriaceae.
GGGUGAUAAUUUCAUCUUCUCUUUUUUGCUUUUAUAUUUUGGUACAGCUGAUUCAUGUAAAAAAAGGGUAUACCCAAAAUAUACACAAAACCAUCAGUGUAAAUGCAUUUUUUUCAAUGUAUAGUUAGGGUGGAUAUUAAAUGGUUGUGAAAAGAGUUGCUUUUUAGUCAUGAUAGUAGCAUAUGCUCGAGUAAGUUCUACAGAUUAAAAUUU